CAGCAGCCGCGGUAAUACGGAGGGUGCAAGCGUUAAUCGGAAUUACUGGGCGUAAAGCGCACGCAGGCGGUCUGUCAAGUCGGAUGUGAAAUCCCCGGGCUCAACCUGGGAACUGCAUUCGAAACUGGCAGGCUAGAGUCUUGUAGAGGGGGGUAGAAUUCCAGGUGUAGCGGUGAAAUGCGUAGAGAUCUGGAGGAAUACCGGUGGCGAAAGCGGCUCACUGGACCAUAACUGACGCUGAUGCACGAAAGCUAGGGGAGCAAACAGGAUUAGAUACCCCGGUAGUCCCUGUCUCUUAUAC
Molecule: ribosomal RNA, 301 nt
Filed under: uncultured bacterium
Lineage: Bacteria
Description: partial 16S ribosomal RNA
Rfam family: Bacterial small subunit ribosomal RNA
Source: RNAcentral